UGAGGAACAUGACCUUCGGCGGGGGAUAGCCGGCCCAACGGCCGGGUAAUACCGCGUACGACCACUUUGGGACAUCCCUCGGUGGUGAAAGCAGCAAUGCGCCGAUGGAGUGCCUCGCGGCCUAUCAGCUAGUUGGUGAGGUAACGGCUCACCAAGGCGACGACGGGUAGCUGGUCUGAGAGGAUGGCCAGCCACAGUUGGGACUGAGACACCGGCCCAGACCUCCGUAACGGGGAGCCAG
RNAcentral lists this ribosomal RNA (241 nucleotides) under uncultured bacterium. RNAcentral's name for it is "partial 16S ribosomal RNA". It matches the Rfam family "Bacterial small subunit ribosomal RNA", at positions 118 to 351 of the family's 1533-position model. The record is from RNAcentral.